Molecule: ribosomal RNA, 257 nt
Filed under: uncultured bacterium
Lineage: Bacteria
Description: partial 16S ribosomal RNA
Rfam family: Bacterial small subunit ribosomal RNA
Source: RNAcentral
UACGUAGGGGGCAAGCGUUGUCCGGAUUUACUGGGCGUAAAGAAGCGUGUAGGCGGCCAAGCAGGUCCGUUGUGAAAACUGGAGGCUUAACCUCCAGACGUCGACGGAAAACCGCGCGGCUAGAGUCCGGAAGAGGAAGAGUGGAAUUCCUGGUGUAGCGGUGAAAUGCGCAGAUAUCAGGAAGAACACCAAUGGCGAAGGCAGCUCUCGUGGACGGUACUGACGGCUGAGACGCGAAAGCGUGGGGAGCAAACGGG